This 497-nucleotide ribosomal RNA is filed under the name uncultured bacterium. RNAcentral describes it as "partial 16S ribosomal RNA". It matches the Rfam family "Bacterial small subunit ribosomal RNA", at positions 28 to 507 of the family's 1533-position model. The record is from RNAcentral.
GAUGAACGCUGGCGGCGUGCCUAAUACAUGCAAGUCGAGCGAACGGACGAGAAGCUUGCUUCUCUGAUGUUAGCGGCGGACGGGUGAGUAACACGUGGAUAACCUACCUAUAAGACUGGGAUAACUUCGGGAAACCGGAGCUAAUACCGGAUGAUAUUUUGAACCGCAUGGUUCAAUAGUGAAAGACGGUCUUGCUGUCACUUAUAGAUGGAUCCGCGCUGCAUUAGCUAGUUGGUAAGGUAAUGGCUUACCAAGGCAACGAUGCAUAGCCGACCUGAGAGGGUGAACGGCCAAACUGGAACCGAGACCCGGUCCAAGCUCCUAAGGGAAGCAGCAGUAGGGAAACUUCCGGAAAGGGCGGAAACCUGACGGAGCAACGCCGCGGGAGUGAUGAAGGUCUUCGGAUCGUAAAACUCUGUUAUUAGGGAAGAACAAAUGUUUAAGUAACCGAGCACAUCUUGACGGUACCUAAUCAGAAAGCCACGGCUAACUACGUG